CAUCCAUUCUAGCAGUGCAAUAGUAUUGUCAUAGCAUUUGGCCCCCAGCUCACACUAAACUGCUGCUAAAGGGCCCCGUUUCAAAUGGGUUUGUGUGGAGAGUGGAGCCGAUGACUGACAGCAGGUGGUGGCGCGGCGCUAACCCCCCCUCCACCCUAAACUGUUUACCCACUUCUGUGUUUACACAGAAGAGUCGACGCACAUUGGAGGCCGAGUAGCGGCUCGCGACCGAAAUUUCACAGGACACGAGCGCGUCGAACGGGCGCCAGUUUUUUCCGAAGGGAAGAGAACAAAUGGCAUAACGCCUUUGGCCAAACCGUGGGAUUGAUUUUCUGUUUUGUUUUGUCCAUCUCGUGUGGUGGCUGCAUUGAUUUGAAGUAAUCAGUCGGCCAUGUUUUAUUUUACAACACGGCUCAUUAUGCGAAGUGACCGCCGGGAGGGCCGAUCAAUAGGUCACGACUUACCCUAAACUUUUCGCUGGAUCUUAAAGAGUGUUCUAGCGAAAGCGUUCUCCGACAACCUCACAGUCGUUCGUUUCUUAGCGGCGGCCAUUCCGCUGCGCUCCUGGUCUUCACCUGUUUGUCGUUUUGUCGUCACGCCAAACACUGCGUCGGUGUGCGACGGUGUGCGUCGUGGUAAAAUAAGCAGAUGGAGAAGGGAAGGGGGAAAAAAAGUGGGCGGGUGAGGUCAAUGUGUGUUUUUGAGCAUCCUCCGUUGCAGCAGGUCGACGGGGGGAGGGGAGGUUAGGGAGGAAUGUAGGGAGCAAGCCCCCCCCCCCCUUCGCCUUGUGCCUUCUCCUCUGUGUGUCUUUUCCUUUCUGUGUUGAGAUUAGGUGUCCCUGCUCCUGUGCGCGCGCCUCGUGUUUGGACCAUAAGGCAAGCGAGUAAAGAGGUUUGUUUGUUUUGAUGACUGUCGGUGGACCCUCCCCCUCCCCCCCGGUUGGGAAUGUUUAACCACACGGUCCAGUUUGCUGUUGCGAGGUGCAACGGGAGGACAUAAGUCAUUAUGUCCAAAAAAACGAAAGAGGACAAAACUCGUUCGGGUACAUGCUGCAAAUUCUUGUUUCAGGUGGAAGUGGUUUGUGGUGUAAAAGCCGGUGUGUCUGUGUGGAUUUUAAAAACAAAAUUAAAAAAAGGAGACCUCAGCCACUCGACUGUGUGAAAUUCUCCCCGAGUAAAGAACGUGACUUGUUUAGGCUUGCUUGCAAUGCUUGCUGGGAAAUCCUGGAAUGUGUGGAAUGGGGGACGGUGGUGCUUCUGCAGUUAUCUCACUGCGUAGAGCAGCAAGUACCCUGCAACGAAAACCCAACAUGUCAGCCGCGCUUUCUCCUCAGCCACUUCUUAAUGUGCAGAAAUACCGGCAUCUGCAUUUCAUUAAGUGCAUUAAAAGAAACUGCGCAGGAAAUGUUUUUGUUUCUUUCCUUUCGAGACGUGUCAUUGACCCCAUUGUCCUUGGGCGGAUGUGUUCUCGUUACACGGUAGUUAAUUACGCUUUUUAAAGGCACAGAUUGAUUCGCUGUUAGACGAUGGUUAAAAAGGAAAAACAAAACUGUCAUUCAAGUACAUGAUUUUUACGUAAAAUGUAUAUCAGUUAAAUGUGUUUUUAAUAAAAGUAAAUGUGGUUUAUGUGACAUUCCUCAUGAGGGACAAACCGCUGUUACUGUUCUCUGACACCCUUUAUCUGAAUAAAGAUGAUUCAAU
Gasterosteus aculeatus aculeatus (three-spined stickleback) is the source of this 1700-nucleotide long non-coding RNA. Lineage: Eukaryota; Metazoa; Chordata; Actinopteri; Perciformes; Gasterosteidae. The record is from Ensembl.